RNAcentral lists this ribosomal RNA (233 nucleotides) under uncultured bacterium. RNAcentral describes it as "partial 16S ribosomal RNA". It matches the Rfam family "Bacterial small subunit ribosomal RNA", at positions 8 to 231 of the family's 1533-position model. The record is from RNAcentral.
AGAGUUUGAUCCUGGCUCAGGAUGAACGCUAGCGACAGGCUUAACACAUGCAAGUCGAGGGGCAGCAUGAACUUAGCUUGCUAAGUUUGAUGGCGACCGGCGCACGGGUGAGUAACGCGUAUGCAACUUACCUAUCAGAGGAGAAUAGCUCAUCGAAAGAUGAAUUAAUGCUCCAUAAAACAGGGGUCCCGCAUGGGAAUAUUUGUUAAAAAUUCAUCGCUGAUAGAUAGGCA